Long non-coding RNA from Acyrthosiphon pisum (pea aphid), 957 nucleotides. RefSeq lists it as uncharacterized. The record is from RefSeq and is a predicted model, not a curated record. NCBI's taxonomy places the organism in Eukaryota, Metazoa, Arthropoda, Insecta, Hemiptera, Aphididae. The transcript is spliced from 6 exons.
CCUAACUAAUAACUAUAUCGUAAUUAAUGACUAAUGCGCCGUUGUAAUGAUCAUUAUGCUCUAUGGUCAUAAUUUGGCAGUAAAAUCAAAAUAUCGUCCAUGUCGUGACACACCGACUUCGAUCGGUACCUACCGCCGGUCGCCAGUCGUAAGUCGUCGACUCGCAUUACGCAGAAAGCUGCGGCUGCACCAGGUACCUAGCCCUCGUAAUCGUCAGUCGUGAGGAUCGUCCCGGCGGAUGGUGUUUGUCAUCGUUGUGGUCGUUAGCCUUCACAUCUCCCGAUCACAGUCGUCCGCAGUCAGUCAUCAGUAGACGCUGCGGCACCAAACCCUGAGCCUGUUCCAUGAUGCCGUUGCCCCGUCUGCCUGCCGUCGGCAGCGACUCGCCUAGAGUGCUGCGGAUGGUGGGAUACAAUCCCAGUUUCACGACGCUACAGGUCAGAGCCGGAUUAAGCAUACCAUAUGUGGGCUGAAAUCAAGUUAAAUUGAAGAAUUAAACCAGUUUCAAUACAUUAAUAGAUUAUUGGAAUGUCAAAUUUGAAAGUUCAAUCCCAAAAGAGGCAAGAAACGUGAUUAGAACUUUCCAUUACAUUUUGUAGAGAAUAAACAAAAGUUUGAAGGUGCUACAUUAAUAAUUCAUCAUACACCCGGACAUACAACUGAUCAUAUAGUUUUAUUUUGGGAAGAAGAUAUUGCAUUGUGCUAUGCUGAUUGUGUACUUGGAGAGGGAACUACUGUAUUUGAAGAUCUAACAGAAUAUUUAAAAUCAUGACAAUUGAUUUUAGACUUCAAUCCAACUGCUAUAUUUCCCAGUCACGGCUCUGUAAUAAAAGAUCCAAUUUCAAGUAAAUAAUUAUAUUAAGCAUAGAUUAGAAAGAGAAGUGGAAUUGUAUAACUUGAUUAAUAAAAGUCCAUCUGGAUCAUUGUCUGACGAAGAAAUUGUAAAUGUAAUGUAUA